UGCAAGUCGAACGGGAUCCAUCAGGCUUUGCUUGGUGGUGAGAGUGGCGAACGGGUGAGUAAUGCGUGACCGACCUGCCCCAUACACCGGAAUAGCUCCUGGAAACGGGUGGUAAUGCCGGAUGCUCCGACUCCUCGCAUGGGGUGUCGGGAAAGAUUAUAUCGGUAUGGGAUGGGGUCGCGUCCUAUCAGGUAGUCGGCGGGGUAACGGCCCACCGAGCCUACGACGGGUAGCCGGCCUGAGAGGGCGACCGGCCACAUUGGGACUGAGAUACGGCCCAGACUCCUACGGGAGGCAGCAGUGGGGAAUAUUGCACAAUGGGCGCAAGCCUGAUGCAGCGACGCCGCGUGCGGGAUGACGGCCUUCGGGUUGUAAACCGCUUUUGAUCGGGAGCAAGCCUUCGGGUGAGUGUACCUUUCGAAUAAGCACCGGCUAACUACGUGCCAGCAGCCGCGGUAAUACGUAGGGUGCAAGCGUUAUCCGGAAUUAUUGGGCGUAAAGGGCUCGUAGGCGGUUCGUCGCGUCCGGUGUGAAAGUCCAUCGCUUAACGGUGGAUCUGCGCCGGGUACGGGCGGGCUGGAGUGCGGUAGGGGAGACUGGAAUUCCCGGUGUAACGGUGGAAUGUGUAGAUAUCGGGAAGAACACCAAUGGCGAAGGCAGGUCUCUGGGCCGUUACUGACGCUGAGGAGCGAAAGCGUGGGGAGCGAACAGGAUUAGAUACCCUGGUAGUCCACGCCGUAAACGGUGGAUGCUGGAUGUGGGGCCCGUUCCACGGGUUCCGUGUCGGAGCUAACGCGUUAAGCAUCCCGCCUGGGGAGUACGGCCGCAAGGCUAAAACUCAAAGAAAUUGACGGGGGCCCGCACAAGCGGCGGAGCAUGCGGAUUAAUUCGAUGCAACGCGAAGAACCUUACCUGGGCUUGACAUGUUCCCGACAGCCGUAGAGAUAUGGCCUCCCUUCGGGGCGGGUUCACAGGUGGUGCAUGGUCGUCGUCAGCUCGUGUCGUGAGAUGUUGGGUUAAGUCCCGCAACGAGCGCAACCCUCGCCCUGUGUUGCCAGCACGUCAUGGUGGGAACUCACGGGGGACCGCCGGGGUCAACUCGGAGGAAGGUGGGGAUGACGUCAGAUCAUCAUGCCCCUUACGUCCAGGGCUUCACGCAUGCUACAAUGGCCGGUACAACGGGAUGCGACACGGCGACGUGGAGCGGAUCCCUGAAAACCGGUCUCAGUUCGGAUUGGAGUCUGCAACCCGACUCCAUGAAGGCGGAGUCGCUAGUAAUCGCGGAUCAGCAACGCCGCGGUGAAUGCGUUCCCGGGCCUUGUACACACCGCCCGUCAAGUCAUGAAAGUGGGUAGCACCCGAAGCCGGUGGCCUAACCCU
Molecule: ribosomal RNA, 1380 nt
Filed under: Bifidobacterium pseudocatenulatum
Lineage: Bacteria; Bacillati; Actinomycetota; Actinomycetes; Bifidobacteriales; Bifidobacteriaceae
Description: bacterial SSU rRNA
Rfam family: Bacterial small subunit ribosomal RNA
Source: RNAcentral